CACACCAUGUUGAAAUGCCAAUUCUCGUCCGAUCACUGAGGUUAAGCAACGUUGAGUCUGGUCAGUACCUAGAUGGGUGACUGCUUGCGAAUGCCAAGUAUUGUAA
Non-coding RNA from Acanthosepion pharaonis, 106 nucleotides. Lineage: Eukaryota; Metazoa; Mollusca; Cephalopoda; Sepiida; Sepiidae. The record is from the annotation of a GenBank genome assembly.